This 497-nucleotide ribosomal RNA is filed under the name uncultured bacterium. RNAcentral's name for it is "partial 16S ribosomal RNA". It matches the Rfam family "Bacterial small subunit ribosomal RNA", at positions 28 to 507 of the family's 1533-position model. The record is from RNAcentral.
GAUGAACGCUGGCGGCGUGCCUAAUACAUGCAAGUCGAGCGAACGGACGAGAAGCUUGCUUCUCUGAUGUUAGCGGCGGACGGGUGAGUAACACGUGGAUAACCUACCUAUAAGACUGGGAUAACUUCGGGAAACCGGAGCUAAUACCGGAUAAUAUUUUGAACCGCAUGGUUCAAAAGUGAAAGACGGUCUUGCUGUCACUUAUAGAUGGAUCCGCGCUGCAUUAGCUAGUUGGUAAGGUAACGGCUUACCAAGGCAGCGAUGCAUAGCCGACCUGAGAGGGUGAUCGGCCACGCUGGAACUGAGGCACGGUCCCGACUCCUACGGGAGGCAGCAGUAGCGAAUCUUCCGCAAUGGGCGAAAGCCUGACGGAGCAACGCCGCGUGAGUGAUGAAGGUCUUCGGAUCGUAAAACUCUGUUAUUAGGGAAGAACAUAUGUGUAAGUAACUGUGCACAUCUUGACGGUACCUAAUCAGAAAGCCACGGCUAACUACGUG